RNAcentral lists this ribosomal RNA (207 nucleotides) under uncultured bacterium. RNAcentral describes it as "partial 16S ribosomal RNA". It matches the Rfam family "Bacterial small subunit ribosomal RNA", at positions 1294 to 1500 of the family's 1533-position model. The record is from RNAcentral.
CGGAUUGCAGGCUGNAACCCGCCUGCAUGAAGCCGGAAUCGCUAGUAAUCGCGGAUCAGAAUGCCGCGGUGAAUACGUUCCCGGGUCUUGUACACACCGCCCGUCACACCAUGGGAGUCGGGAAUGCCCGAAGUCAGUGGCCCAACCGGAAGGGGGGAGCUGCCGAAGGCAGGCCCGGUGACUGGGGUGAAGUCGUAACAAGGUAUC